GAACCAUGGUUAUUCCAAGAAGCCAAGCAAGGUCAGCAACGGCUCGUUGCAAAUCCCUGCUGUUUGUGUAAAGAAUGGCCAGAUGAUUUCUUACUGCUAGUACUGAUAUCAUGCAGAAUAUCCCAAUGAGGAGUGAUUGAAACACUGCGAUAUAUACACUGUAUUUGGUUGCCCUGGGACGCCCUAACCCAAGCUCAUUUGAGACUCGUACGCUUAUGGCAGCAUUGAUUCCUAUGAACAACAUUGCUUCCCAUCCAUCAAUAUUCAUGCAAAUAGAGAGGGAUCCAACAGCAAUAACUGCAUCCUUGAGUUGUCCGGUGAGAACAAUAAUACUCAUCAUGUACCAGAUUUCAAGGCAUAACAUAACAGCCGAGGCAACCGAGAGUCUAACAAAUGCCCAAAUCUCAUUCAAUGCUGACAAAGACCAUCCCGUCCAUCCAUCCUUACACCAAACUACCACGUAGACAAAUUGAGCUAUUGCAUUGGCCCAACCUGUAAUAUUAAAGACUAACGCAGCCCCAUUUAUACCCAAGUUGAACACAUAUAAGAACAACCAUAGCAGAAAGGCAUGGAGUAAAAGAACCACAAAACCAAUACAAG
Molecule: unclassified non-coding RNA, 600 nt
Filed under: Hevea brasiliensis (rubber tree)
Lineage: Eukaryota; Viridiplantae; Streptophyta; Magnoliopsida; Malpighiales; Euphorbiaceae
Source: RNAcentral